CGGACCCAUUGCUUUGCUGAUGAACAGCUGCACAGGAAGAAUAGCAGUGGAAGGAGGUUGCAGUCCAUCUGCUUUGAUGUCAUUUUUUUUCCCCUCUGAGUUUGGUAACAUCCAGAGUGCUCCAGGCAUAUAACCACUCUGGGCAAGUUGGAAAGCAAAAUAAUAUGCAAAGACAAGAUGAAACAGAUGUUUGAGGUCUACAUUACAAUUCAGACAGAAUCAGCUGAAGACAUCAGAACAAAAUGCUUGCAAGUGUUCCUGUGCUAUCAGUUACUCAAGGGAUAGUUACAGGAAUGUGUUCAGAGCUUGAAGGCAAGUCAGCUGGAGCUUUGGGAGCCUGCCACCUCCUGAGACCAGAUUCCAAACUUGCUUGAUCUAUUUGUGUGAAUGUGACUGUUGACAAAUACAGAACAUCAAGAUUUAUCUCAAAGUCGUGCUGUAUGAGCAUCAUUUGUGCUUUAUAAUCCAAUAAAAGAUUUACGUUUCUCA
RNAcentral lists this long non-coding RNA (489 nucleotides) under Apteryx rowi (Okarito brown kiwi). RNAcentral's name for it is "lncRNA (ENSARWG00000013711.1)". Lineage: Eukaryota; Metazoa; Chordata; Aves; Apterygiformes; Apterygidae. The record is from RNAcentral.